CGGGGUACUCGAGCGGCGAACGGGUGAGUAACACGUGAGUAACCUGCCCCAGGCUUUGGGAUAACCCUCGGAAACGGGGGCUAAUACCGGAUAUUCACUUUCCGUGGCAUCACGGUUGGUGGAAAGUUUUUCGGCUUGGGAUGGGCUCGCGGCCUAUCAGCUUGUUGGUGGGGUGAUGGCCUACCAAGGCGACGACGGGUAGCCGGCCUGAGAGGGCGACCGGCCACACUGGGACUGAGACACGGCCCAG
Molecule: ribosomal RNA, 250 nt
Filed under: uncultured bacterium
Lineage: Bacteria
Description: partial 16S ribosomal RNA
Rfam family: Bacterial small subunit ribosomal RNA
Source: RNAcentral